This 431-nucleotide ribosomal RNA is filed under the name uncultured bacterium. RNAcentral describes it as "partial 16S ribosomal RNA". It matches the Rfam family "Bacterial small subunit ribosomal RNA", at positions 30 to 507 of the family's 1533-position model. The record is from RNAcentral.
CGAACGCUGGCGGCAGGCUUAACACAUGCAAGUCGAGCGAGACCUUCGGGUCUAGCGGCGGCCGGGUGAGUAACGCGUGGGAACGUGCCCUUCUCUACGGAAUAGCCCCGGGAAACUGGGAGUAAUACCGUAUACGCCCUUUGGGGGAAAGAUUUAUCGGAGAAGGAUCGGCCCGCGUUGGAUUAGGUAGUUGGUGGGGUAAUGGCCCACCAAGCCGACGAUCCAUAGCUGGUUUGAGAGGAUGAUCAGCCACACUGGGACUGAGACACGGCCCAGACUCCUACGGGAGGCAGCAGUGGGGAAUCUUAGACAAUGGGGGCAACCCUGAUCUAGCCAUGCCGCGUGAGUGAUGAAGGCCUUAGGGUUGUAAAGCUCUUUCAGCUGGGAAGAUAAUGACGGUACCAGCAGAAGAAGCCCCGGCUAACUCCGUG